RNAcentral lists this ribosomal RNA (84 nucleotides) under Candidatus Rifleibacteriota bacterium. The record is from RNAcentral. Lineage: Bacteria; Candidatus Rifleibacteriota.
CCCGUUCCGAACUCAGAAGUUAAGCUCCCAAGCGCCGAUGGUACUGCGGCGGCGACGCCGUGGGAGAGUAGGUUGCUGCCGGGC